RNAcentral lists this ribosomal RNA (202 nucleotides) under uncultured bacterium. RNAcentral's name for it is "partial 16S ribosomal RNA". It matches the Rfam family "Bacterial small subunit ribosomal RNA", at positions 28 to 212 of the family's 1533-position model. The record is from RNAcentral.
GACGAACGCUGGCGGCGUGCUUGACACAUGCAAGUCGAGCGGUAAGGCCCUUUCGGGGGUACGACGAGCGGCGAACGGGUAGGAGUAACAACGUGGGUGGACCUCGCCCUCCAGCUCCUGGGAGUAAGACCUCGGGAAACCGGGGUACCGUAAUACUGGAUAUGACUCCACUGACGCAUGUUGUGGGGUGGGAAAGACCUUG